AUUGAACGCUGGCGGCAUGCUUUACACAUGCAAGUCGAACGGCAGCACGGGCUUCGGCCUGGUGGCGAGUGGCGAACGGGUGAGUAAUGCAUCGGAACGUGCCCAUUUGUGGGGGAUAACUACGCGAAAGCGUGGCUAAUACCGCAUACGCCCUGAGGGGGAAACGGGGGAUUCUUCGGAACCUCGCGCAAUUGGAGCGGCCGAUGUCAGAUUAGCUUGUUGGUGAGGUAAAGGCUCACCAAGGCGACGAUCUGUAGCGGGUCUGAGAGGAUGAUCCGCCACACUGGGACUGAGACACGGCCCAGACUCCUACGGGAGGCAGCAGUGGGGAAUUUUGGACAAUGGGGGCAACCCUGAUCCAGCCAUGCCGCGUGAGUGAAGAAGGCCUUCGGGUUGUAAAGCUCUUUCAGCCGGGAAGAAAGCGCACUCUCUAACAUAGGGUGUGGAUGACGGUACCGGAAGAAGAAGCACCGGCUAACUACGUG
RNAcentral lists this ribosomal RNA (485 nucleotides) under uncultured bacterium. RNAcentral describes it as "bacterial SSU rRNA". It matches the Rfam family "Bacterial small subunit ribosomal RNA", at positions 30 to 507 of the family's 1533-position model. The record is from RNAcentral.